CGGCGCGCCUAACACAUGCAAGUCGAACGGGGUGCGUUCGAAUGAAGUUUUCGGAUGGAAUUUGGAUGUACCUAGUGGCGAACGGUGAGUAACACGUGAAUAACCUGCCCUGGAGUGGGGGACAACAGUUGGAAACGACUGCUAAUACCGCAUAAGCCCACAGAGCCGCAUGGCUCGAAGGGGGAAAAGGAGCAAUUCGCUUCAGGAUGGAUUCGCGUCCAAUUAGCUGGAUGGUGGGGCAACGGCCCACCAAGGCGACGAUCAGUAGCCGGUCUGAGAGGAUGAACGGCCACAUUGGGACUGAGAUACGGCCCAGACUCCUACGGGAGGCAGCAGGUGGGGAAUAUUGGGCAAUGGGGGAAACCCUGACCCAGCAACGCCGCGUGAAGGAAGAAGGCCCUCGGGUUGUAAACUUCUUUACCAGGGACGAAGGACGUGACGGUACCUGGAGAAAAAGCAACGGCUAACUACGUG
This 474-nucleotide ribosomal RNA is filed under the name uncultured bacterium. Its description in RNAcentral is "bacterial SSU rRNA". It matches the Rfam family "Bacterial small subunit ribosomal RNA", at positions 40 to 507 of the family's 1533-position model. The record is from RNAcentral.